AACGAACGCUGGCGGCAUGCCUAACACAUGCAAGUCGAGCGCCCGGAGCGAUCCGGGAGCGGCGCACGGGUGAGUAACGCGUGGGAACCUGCCCUUAGGUUCGGGACAACCGCGGGAAACUGCGGCUGAUACCGGAUGAUGCGCUUGGUGGAAACGCCAAGCGCCAAAGAUUUAUCGCCUUUGGAGGGGCCCGCGUCGGAUUAGGUAGUUGGUGGGGUAACGGCCCACCAAGCCUUCGAUCCGAGCUGGUCUGAGAGGAUGGCCAGCCACACUGGGACUGAGACACGGCCCAGACUCCUACGGGAGGCAGCAGUGGGGAAUUUUGGACAAUGGGGGCAACCCUGAUCCAGCCAUGCCGCGUGUGUGAAGAAGGCCUUCGGUUGUAGAG
RNAcentral lists this ribosomal RNA (388 nucleotides) under uncultured bacterium. RNAcentral describes it as "bacterial SSU rRNA". It matches the Rfam family "Bacterial small subunit ribosomal RNA", at positions 28 to 430 of the family's 1533-position model. The record is from RNAcentral.